Molecule: long non-coding RNA, 1166 nt
Organism: Rosa rugosa (rugosa rose)
Lineage: Eukaryota; Viridiplantae; Streptophyta; Magnoliopsida; Rosales; Rosaceae
Exons: 3
Source: RefSeq, a predicted model, not a curated record
UUCCAUAUGUGAUUUUCAUGCAUGAACCCAAUUUUCUCUUAAACCAAAAGGCUAGGCUACGGGUUUGGCAAAGAUUUGUGGUGAAGAAGGCCAAGGAGGAGGAAAGACCAUGAGUUUUUGGAGAAGAAAGGGAAAUACGAUCGUUAAGGAAGCUUACGCGGAAAACACCGGAGUGUACGUGGAAUACGCCGGCAUUUCCAAGUAGGGUGAGCUGUCCCUUCCUUGUUAGAGGCUUUUCUAUAUACGUGGAAUGCUCUAGUAUAAUAGUAUGUUGCCUGCAAGUACGUUUUUGGUUGUUCAUUAGUCGAUGCCUCUAUCUGUGUUUUCAUAACUGAUAAUUGUUGAUUGCGAAAACCGAGGCUAAACUUGUAUGUUGAGAUACUGUACCCAUUGUAUGUUUGUACUUGUGACCUGAAAGUGAAUGGGAUCUAGACGCGUUGAUUCCUAGGCAUCCCAAGGUGUCGAUAACCAUGAACCUCCGGAGGGGGCUAUGCUCCUAUGUGCGUCGAGGAAAGGUGAAUAACGAUGGUGAACCAGUCAUAAGACACUCAGGGCCAAGAAAUAGACACUUUCGCUACUUGUAGUCACAAGGACCACAGAGUAGUUGGCCGGUUCUCGAAGGAUGACAAACCGGGUCAAUCACCGAUUGUUUUAGAUUAGCCGGCAGGUAAGUAUCUCGGAGCUCCAAGUUGUGUGAAGCAUGCUGCAUAUGAUUUCCUAAAAAAGGACGACGAUGAUUGUUUUUGUUUGCAUUUUCUUUACUCAAUUUUACAAAUGCGCACAAUCUAUAUUCUAGUAGCUAUUUUACUUAUUAGUUUUCAAACCUAACUAAGGUUGGGUUGGCCCCUAUUGGGCUAGCGAGGACGAAAUGCUCACCCCUACAUUUCAGGUUGCAACGAGGUCACUCUGGAAGAUCUGUAUUUGAAGUGGGUCGUUGGCCGAGUCCGUGUGUUGCUGUCCCUAUUGCUUGAAGUCAUUUCCUUUUGGUACUCUAUCAAUUUACUCGCUUUUCUUUCAAUGUUGAGCUCAGUUGAACUCUAUGAGGUCCGCCUACCUGGGAGCGCGCCUCACCCUUUGUUUUAUUGUUGCUGUUGAACUCCUUUCAUUUCGGUUAUGAUGUAAGCCUUAAGGCGUCACAGUGCACUUGCCUACUUUAUUUUGAAGUA